Long non-coding RNA from Amblyraja radiata (thorny skate), 150 nucleotides. RefSeq lists it as uncharacterized. The transcript is spliced from 4 exons. The record is from RefSeq and is a predicted model, not a curated record. NCBI's taxonomy places the organism in Eukaryota, Metazoa, Chordata, Chondrichthyes, Rajiformes, Rajidae.
AGAGGUUUCUAAAACUGGAGGGCAAAGGCUUAAGAUGAGAGAGAAGCGAUUUAGGAGGGAUCUCAGAGGCAGCUUUUUCACUCAGAGGGUAGUCCGUAUCUGGAAUGAGCUGCCAGAGGAAGCACUAGCGGUAGAUGCAGCUUUGAAAAC